Dermatophagoides farinae (American house dust mite) is the source of this 1473-nucleotide non-coding RNA. The record is from RefSeq and is a predicted model, not a curated record. Lineage: Eukaryota; Metazoa; Arthropoda; Arachnida; Sarcoptiformes; Pyroglyphidae.
UGAUAAAAAUAACAUUUUUUUGCGGAUUUUUUUUUCUUCAAGGCAAAAAAUAACCAAAUGGAAAAAAAUCAGCUGCGGGCAACAAUCAUAAUCGAAUCGUUCUGAUGGAAUGACCAACACUACCAGAUUUGAUCAUCAAAUCAUUAUAGAAAAAUGAUGUAUUCAUGUUUCAUCUUUCUCUCGCUUAUCUAUUUGGAUGUUUGAAAAUGAAAAGCUAGUUAUUCUGCAUGUGAUUCGAACGAAAUUAAUUAUCAAAAAUUUCAUUAAAUGAGUGCAACCGUUGUUGAUGUGUGUGUGCAUCGAAUGAACAAAAAUACUAUAUGCGAAUUGGUUUGUCAUACAGAAUGUGAUUGUUUUUUCAUUUUUCAUUGUUGUUCCAGGAAAUUGAACACAUUAUUCUAAAAAAUGCAAUCCGAAGAGAUUUAUGGAAAGGAAAUGCGUGAUGAUAUCCAUAUUUGAAAUAGAAAUGACAGACAACUAAAACAAAAACCGAAAUGGCCAUGAGCCAAUCUUGCUGUGUUUGAUGUAUUUAUUGAUGGUAUGAAUCAAAUUUAACACCUGUCUUAUCAAACAAAUUAUCGUUGAAUUUUAUAGUUAUAAUAACUCAUUCGACUCUAAAGUAUGCAUCCUGUUGCCAUAAAUAGCUACCACACACACACACACACACAUGAGCCGAUUGAUUAUUUGGAAAAAGAUAUUAUUCUUCCUGUUUGGUCUCUCAUUCCUAAACACUGUGUGUUACAAUACUGUGUUUGAUGUAUGUUGGUGGUUUUUUUUUUAAAUAUUGAAUCUAAUACACUAACAAUUCAAGAAUCUAAUCGAAUUGUUUAUCAUGAAAUAUCUCUCUUUUUUAAAAACUAUUUCGAUUACAAAUACCACUACAACUAACCAAAUCUGAAAAAUUCUAUAGAUUCACUUUCAAUGAAUGAAUGAAUUUUACAAAUGUGAAUUAUGUGUGUGUGUUUGGUAUAUUUAAACGUGGCAAUCCAGCUAUUUUAUCCAACUAUAACUGUAUGCACCGCUACAUAAAUUAGACUUCUAUAUAAAGAAACAUACAUAGGCUAUAUUUUGAAAGUGAGAGAGGUAGAGAGAGUAUCUUUUAUGUACUGAAUGUUUGAUCAUUGGUUUUGUUGCUUGGUUGUUUUUGUUGUUGUUGUUGAUCGCUUUCAUUGAACGUCACGAUCAACAUUAACGACAGGUUUGGUAGGUUUGUAUACACACAAAAUAACUGGCUGUGGGCGCCAUUACAAGACAUACUCAUAUGUUUGUCUGUUUAUUACCAUCAAUCAACAAUGACUGUGGAAUGCCCGAUUGAUUUGACCAUCAGAACUUUUUUUUUGUGUUAAUAUCCAACCCUGCCGUCGAUAACAGAUGUGUGUGUGUGCAUCUAAUUUCAUUUUAUUCAACGUUUUUAAUUCUCUGAUUGCAAUAUGCUUGUUUAUUUGAAAAUUUAAUGGUCUCAUGAUUUUUUUU